GAACGCACAUUGCGCCCGCCAGCAUUCUGGCGGGCAUGCCUGUUCGAGCGUCAUUUCAACCCUCGAGCCCCCCCGGGGGCCUCGGUGUUGGGGGACGGCACACCAGCCGCCCCCGAAAUGCAGUGGCGACCUCGCCGCAGCCUCCCCUGCGUAGUAGCACACACCUCGCACCGGAGCGCGGAGACGGUCACGCCGUAAAACGCCCAACUUCUUAGAGUUGACCUCGGAUCAGGUAGGAAUACCCGCUGAACUUAAG
This 256-nucleotide unclassified non-coding RNA is filed under the name Purpureocillium lilacinum. Its description in RNAcentral is "sequence contains 5.8S rRNA gene". The stretch from base 1 to 53 matches the Rfam family "5.8S ribosomal RNA", at positions 102 to 154 of the family's 154-position model. The record is from RNAcentral. Lineage: Eukaryota; Fungi; Ascomycota; Sordariomycetes; Hypocreales; Ophiocordycipitaceae.